RNAcentral lists this ribosomal RNA (468 nucleotides) under uncultured bacterium. RNAcentral describes it as "partial 16S ribosomal RNA". It matches the Rfam family "Bacterial small subunit ribosomal RNA", at positions 28 to 507 of the family's 1533-position model. The record is from RNAcentral.
GACGAACGCUGGCGGCGGGCUUAACACAUGCAAGUCGAACGGCAAGGCCCUGCUUUUGUGGGCUGCCCGAGUGGCGAACGGGUGAGUAACACGUGAGUAUCCUGCUCUUGUUUUUGGUGUAACUUCACGUAACUGGGGCUAAUACCGGAUCGGAGCUCCCGCUGCAUGGUGGGGGUUGGAAAGUUUCGGCGGUUGGGGAUGGACUCGCGGCUUAACAGUUUGUUGGUGGGGUAGUGGCUUACCAAGGCUUUGACGGGUAGCCGGCCUGAGAGGGUGACCGGCCACCAUGGGACUGAGAGAGGGCCCAGUCUCGAACGGUAGGCAGCAGUGGGAAAUAUGACACAGUGAGAGCGAGCCUGAUGAAGCAGCGCCGCGGGCGGAAAGACGGCCUGCGGGGUGUAAACAGCUUUCGCCUGAGACGAAGCGGGAGUGACGGUAAUGGAUGAAGAAGCACCGGCUAACUACGUG